Molecule: ribosomal RNA, 207 nt
Filed under: uncultured bacterium
Lineage: Bacteria
Description: partial 16S ribosomal RNA
Rfam family: Bacterial small subunit ribosomal RNA
Source: RNAcentral
CGCGUAGGCGGUUCGUCAAGUCCUGUGUGAAAUCCCCCGGCUCAACUGGGGAACUGCACAGGAAACUAGCGGGCUUGAGUUCGGGAGAGGGAAGCGGAAUUCCGGGUGUAGCGGUGAAAUGCGUAGAUAUCCGGAGGAACACCGGUGGCGAAGGCGGCUUCCUGGACCGACACUGACGCUGAGGCGCGAAAGCUAGGGGAGCAAACG